UACAGAGGCCCCAAGCGUUACUGAGAAUCACUGGGUUUAAAGGGUGCGUAGGUGGUCCGUUAAGUUCGUUGUGAAAGCCCUUGGCUCAACCAAGGAAUUGCUUCGAAUACUGGCGGACUUGAGGCUAGUAGAGGUCACUGGAACUGACGGUGGAGCGGUGAAAUGCGUAGAUAUCGUCAGGAACGCCGGUGGUGAAGACGGGUGACUGGGCUAGUUCUGACACUGAGGCACGAAAGCGUGGGGAGCGAACGGG
This 253-nucleotide ribosomal RNA is filed under the name uncultured bacterium. RNAcentral describes it as "partial 16S ribosomal RNA". It matches the Rfam family "Bacterial small subunit ribosomal RNA", at positions 524 to 776 of the family's 1533-position model. The record is from RNAcentral.